Molecule: ribosomal RNA, 336 nt
Filed under: Priestia megaterium
Lineage: Bacteria; Bacillati; Bacillota; Bacilli; Caryophanales; Bacillaceae
Description: bacterial SSU rRNA
Rfam family: Bacterial small subunit ribosomal RNA
Source: RNAcentral
GGAGAUGAUUGAAAGAUGGUUUCGGCUAUCACUUACAGAUGGGCCCGCGGUGCAUUAGCUAGUUGGUGAGGUAACGGCUCACCAAGGCAACGAUGCAUAGCCGACCUGAGAGGGUGAUCGGCCACACUGGGACUGAGACACGGCCCAGACUCCUACGGGAGGCAGCAGUAGGGAAUCUUCCGCAAUGGACGAAAGUCUGACGGAGCAACGCCGCGUGAGUGAUGAAGGCUUUCGGGUCGUAAAACUCUGUUGUUAGGGAAGAACAAGUACAAGAGUAACUGCUUGUACCUUGACGGUACCUAACCAGAAAGCCACGGCUAACUACGUGCCAGCAGC